This 253-nucleotide ribosomal RNA is filed under the name uncultured bacterium. RNAcentral describes it as "partial 16S ribosomal RNA". It matches the Rfam family "Bacterial small subunit ribosomal RNA", at positions 524 to 776 of the family's 1533-position model. The record is from RNAcentral.
UACAGAGGUGGCAAGCGUUGUUCGGAAUUACUGGGCGUAAAGGGCGCGUAGGCGGCCUUCUAAGUCAGACGUGAAAUCCCCCGGCUUAACCUGGGAACUGCGUCUGAUACUGGAGGGCUUGAGUAUGGGAGAGGGAUGUAGAAUUCCAGGUGUAGCGGUGAAAUGCGUAGAUAUCAGGAGGAACACCGGUGGCGAAGGCGGCUCUCUGGACAGACACCGACGCUGAGGCACGAAAGCUAGGGGAGCAAACAGG